This is a long non-coding RNA of Homo sapiens (human), 2909 nucleotides long. Ensembl annotates it as long intergenic non-protein coding RNA 1725. The record is from Ensembl. NCBI's taxonomy places the organism in Eukaryota, Metazoa, Chordata, Mammalia, Primates, Hominidae.
GUGCGCAGUUCCCGUGCCCUAGGAGUUGGCGGCGGGGCCCAGCCGAGGUAUAAGUUCCACAGCUUCACCCUUGUCGGUGUGAUAUGGGCGUGAAAGAAGACAUAAAACAGGCUUCCCGAGUAGAACCUGCCACCCCGGGCUGGUGGGGACGCGGCACCAGGCCGGGCCGGGGGAAGCCGCUCGGACAGUGGUCCUUGGAAUCUUCUUCCCUUCUGGUCUGACUAGGAAAGCCAGAGGGAGAUGGUGAAGGAGACACAGAGAGAGUAAAAGAACAGACCAUGCCCAGCCUCUCCACUGCAGGAGCUUGGAAUCAGUUCUGGAGGCAGAAGGCUAAGAUCAAGGCACCAGCAAGUUUGGUGUCUCGUGAGGGCUGCUGUCUGCUUCCAAGAUGGCGCCUUGUUGUUGCAUCCUUGGGAGGGGAUGGGGAGAAAAAAACAAAAAGAGGCCUAGGCUGGUUGCCCCUAGCCCUUUUAUAAGGCACUAAUCCAUUCAUGAUGAGGGGAAAGCCCUCAUGACUUAAUCAUCUCGCAAAAGUAACACAUUUUAAUACCAUUACAAUGGGGAUUAGGUUUCUACAUGAAUUCUGGAGGGGACAUAUUCAAACCAUAGCACUCCACUUUCUACUUUCCCUUUUCCUAUUCUCUGUCUCCCUCUCUCCCCUGCCCCAUCUCGGUCACUGGGGUUUGUAUGCAUGUAUACAUAUAUGCAAAAUAUCUAAGUAUUUUGACCGGUGUUAAACACUGACCAUGGAUUCUCCUGGAACCUUUAUUCAACUCAGUUUAUUCUUUUGUAAAUCACAGUCACCAUUCAUUCCAUAAAUUGCCAGUGUACAAUUCAAUGAAUGUGGACAAUGUGAACACACAUAUAACACAACUCACUCAAGAUUUAGAGAGUCCCUUGUGCUCCUUUGUAGGCAAUCUCCAACCCCAUGGCAAUUACUGUUCUGAUUUUUAACACCUAGAUUUGUUCUGCCUUUUUCUGGACUUUAUAUAAAUGGAAUAAUAAACUAUAUGGGGAUUUUUGCUCAACAUUAAUGUUUUUUAAGAUUUAUCCAGUUGUUGCUUAUAUCAAUAAUUCAUUCUUUUUGUUAUUGCUAAAUAGCAACCUAUUGUAUGACUAUUCCACAGUUGUUUUUUGUUUUUAAUCUAUUCUCCUGUUGAUAGACAUUCAGUUUUUUCCCUGUUUUGGCUACUAUGAAUAAGGCUGCUAUGAACCUUCUUGUUGGCAUAUGAUUUUAUUUCUUUUGGGUAACUAUUUAGAAGAGGAAUUUCUAGGUAACAGGAUAGACACAUGUUUAUAAGAAACUGCCAGUUUUCGAAAGUGGUUGUACCAUUAUUAUACUCCCGCCAGCAGUGUUUAAGUUCUAGCUGCUGCACAUUGUCACCAGCAUAUGGUGGCAGUAUUUUAGUUUGGGCCAUUCCAGUGUUUGCGUGACAUGCCAACCAGAUUAAAACACAAAAUACGGAAGUGUAUUUUACAUGUUAAGAACUGAUGUUGUAUAUCAAUAGAAAAGAAAAAAAAAAACAGAAUUCCUCAAUUGUUUUUGCUUCUGUUAACUGUCAAGGAAACUAAUCUUCAAACCACAUAGACUAGAACUGAAAUUAUACAAGGAAAAUAGAGCCCAGGAUGACAGAGAUUCUGAGAAGACCUAGACAGUUGAAAUGAUGUUGGGUCUCCUAGCACAGAUGUCUUAUACUCUGGAGACUACUCUUCCCAUGAACAGGGGACAUGCUAGGAAUCCAGAGAGAGACUGGCAAAAUAGGAGCUACGGAAACUAAACAGAAUACAUGAGAGCUUACCAGAAAUCUACUCCCACAUGUGGAGAAAUCAGAUGGACAUUGAAGGCCCCCCAAUACAAAGGAGAUAGCAAAUUCUAAUUCCAUUCAGACUCUGGUGGUGCCAAGAGGCCCUGUGAAUUGGUAGAGCAGGGCAUGGCAACAGUAUGUAACUGAUAGGUCAUAUUACUGCAUAAAGUUAGUAACAGGAAUAUUACAAGCAAAAUUUAAUCUCUGGUUGGCAAUAAAAAGAAGAGUUCACUACCUCUAGCAGCAGGGAUUCAUGCCAGGGCUUAGUUCCAGUGAAAAAUUAUAUGCCUAGAUUAUUUAUCACUCAGGUUAAAAGAAAUUAGAUGCAAGGGUAGUCAGGUGUAUACUAGCACAUAUUCCAACAUAUAUGGUCAGUGUUAGAAUAAGGGGCUAAAGGUAAGAGCUCCUUUAGAUAUUCAGGACACAAAAUUUGUUACAGAUCACAGGAUGUGGGAGCUAUGAACUCACUGGUUGGCAGGGAUAGGACUCCACUAUUAUUGCCCCAGGGUCUAUUCAAGACUGAUCCUUCCCAUAACUGGAUACCGUUUUGCCACAUCUUAGGCAGAGAACUUCUUGAGAAAUCAUAGAGGAAUCAAAAGACUGAGAUAAAUGCCAGUUUGAUUUUUCAAAAAUGGAAAAAGUACGUUUAUUGAACCAAAGAUUCAUUCAUUGUAACAUUUAUUGAGUGCCCUCGGGGUGCCAGGCACUGUUGCAGGACUCUCAGGACACAAGACAAUUAUGGUUCCCUGCUGUCAUGGAGUUUUCAAUAUACUAAACUCAAAGGUAAACUCUGGAAAUUGAUGUCAAUUCCAGGCAAAAUUGUAGGAUAGCCAUUGAAUGACUGGAUGGAUUUACUGAAAACAAGACAUAUUAAUCUAUUUUUUUCUUUGCCAAAGCUAUUUUACAGGAAGAUCUUAGAACUAUAUUAUUUUUAUUUUUACUUUUGCCAGCUGUAUCAUGAUAAGCUUGAAUUGAAGAAAUACAAAGGCUGUAUGGAGGUAAAAUUUGGUAGUGUAAUAACAAGUUGAACAACAAUAUCCAAGCAUUUCUGAUUAAUUAAUCAGUAUUAAUCUGGUUGCAUAUCAGAUAAUAAACAUAUUGCUA